CCUACGGGAGGCAGCAGUGGGGAAUAUUGGACAAUGGGCGCAAGCCUGAUCCAGCAAUGCCGCGUGAGUGAUGAAGGCCUUAGGGUUGUAAAGCUCUUUUACCAGGGAUGAUAAUGACAGUACCUGGAGAAUAAGCUCCGGCUAACUCCGUGCCAGCAGCCGCGGUAAUACGGAGGGAGCUAGCGUUGUUCGGAAUUACUGGGCGUAAAGCGUACGUAGGCGGUUAUUCAAGUCAGAGGUGAAAGCCCGGGGCUCAACCCCGGAACUGCCUUUGAAACUAGGUAGCUAGAAUCUUGGAGAGGUCAGUGGAAUUCCGAGUGUAGAGGUGAAAUUCGUAGAUAUUCGGAAGAACACCAGUGGCGAAGGCGACUGACUGGACAAGUAUUGACGCUGAGGUACGAAAGCGUGGGGAGCAAACAGGAUUAGAUACCCUGGUAGUCCACGCCGUAAACGAUGAUAACUAGCUGUCCGGUCACUUGGUGACUGGGUGGCGCAGCUACGCAUUAAGUUAUCCGUCCGUCGGGUAGGUACGGUCGCGAAGAAGUUAAACGUACGAAAGGAAAGUUAGUAACGGUCGUGAGACGUGCCGAACGGACGACGACGAGGGAGGAGG
This 613-nucleotide ribosomal RNA is filed under the name uncultured bacterium. RNAcentral's name for it is "bacterial SSU rRNA". The stretch from base 1 to 517 matches the Rfam family "Bacterial small subunit ribosomal RNA", at positions 338 to 873 of the family's 1533-position model. The record is from RNAcentral.